Oryza glaberrima (African rice) is the source of this 187-nucleotide non-coding RNA. The record is from Rfam. NCBI's taxonomy places the organism in Eukaryota, Viridiplantae, Streptophyta, Magnoliopsida, Poales, Poaceae.
UUUAAGUGCAACCAUGAGUUUCCAUGUCUAAUUUUGAUUGUCCGUCUUAUUUAAAUUUUUUUUUAUAAUUAGUAUUUUUAUUGUUAUGAGAUAAUAAAAUAUGAAUAGUACUUUACUUGUGUCUGCACUUAAAAUAGGACGAAGGAAGUAUUUAUUUUGAACAUGCAUAACGACACACGCAUUCCGU